Molecule: ribosomal RNA, 274 nt
Filed under: uncultured bacterium
Lineage: Bacteria
Description: partial 16S ribosomal RNA
Rfam family: Bacterial small subunit ribosomal RNA
Source: RNAcentral
AGACGGAGGGGGCUAGCGUUGUUCGGAAUUACUGGGCGUAAAGCGCGCGUAGGCGGUCCGUUUAGUUAGGCGUGAAAGCCCUGGGCUCAACCCGGGAACUGCGUCCGAAACGGCCGGGCUUGAGAUCGGGAGGGGUGUGUGGAAUUCCGGGUGGAGCGGUGAAAUGCGUUGAUAUCCGGAGGAACACCGGCGGCGAAAGCGACACACUGGUCCGAUUCUGACGCUGAGGUGCGAAAGCCAGGGGAGCAAACGGGAUUAGAAACCCCGGUAGUCC